AAAUUUUUAAUCUCUUUGAAAUUUGUCUUGGUGGGACCCUUAGCCUCCGGCUCUGAGUGUUCCGAA
Drosophila busckii is the source of this 66-nucleotide non-coding RNA. It matches the Rfam family "U7 small nuclear RNA". Rfam says of the family: Animal histone pre-mRNAs are spliced by a different mechanism than nuclear pre-mRNAs and self-splicing introns. This processing involves the U7 snRNP, which contains only one RNA species: U7. Lineage: Eukaryota; Metazoa; Arthropoda; Insecta; Diptera; Drosophilidae. The record is from Rfam.